Long non-coding RNA from Oncorhynchus tshawytscha (Chinook salmon), 1802 nucleotides. The record is from Ensembl. Lineage: Eukaryota; Metazoa; Chordata; Actinopteri; Salmoniformes; Salmonidae.
CAUCUCUCUAAGCGCUUGUGCCUCUUUCUUUUAUGGCCUCAUCAAAAGAACAUAAACAAGAUACCCCAGUGGUGGAUAGUUAAGCUGGUGGUGGGAAGACUUGUUACCAGGUUAUUGUCAUCAUAGUUAUGCUAUCAUUUAAAGGGAUAUUUUGGCAAUGAGGCAAUUUAUCUACUUCCCCAGUGUCGGAUGAACUCGUGGAUACUAUUUUUAUGCCUUUGCGUUUAGUAUGAAGAAAGUUCAAGGUAGUUUCACAAGCCAAUGCUAACUAGUGUUAGCACUCUGACUGGAAGUCUAUGGGUAUCUGCUAGCAUGCUAUGCCCUUUAAGGAAGGAUUUUAGGUUUGUUGUCUGUAUUGGCAUUUGAACUUUAUCCAACUUUUAGCUCAAACAGUUGAUCAAUGACUGCUGGGAAUAUAUUUGUUAACCUUUAUGCAAACUUGAGUAUUUCUCUCAACUUACAAUGUAUGUGCAAUGCAAAAUAGACCUCGUACCUUUUGAUUCUCCCCUUAUUUAAUAAAUACAGUAGCAUUAGCUAUGACUAUGUAAAGGUUCUCAGAAACACAACAUAGGAGCCUGCUAUGUUCAGAUUGCUUUGUUGUUGUACAAUCAACCUUUGAUCUUGUUCAGAGUUUCAUAUUGCCUUCAUCUCUGUUUUGAAAUGUUGUCCCAUCUAUAAAAGUGUUCAAAUGGCCACUUUUCUUUUAAUGGGAUGUCCUCACUAUAACAAUCAUGUACCUUGCGUGAAUUGGCUUGGCCCUUGUCCCCCCCCCACUUUGUGUGACGGUUAGCACAUCCAUUUGUGCUCAGAAAAAUACCUAACUUUGCAAUAGGGCCUUUUUUUCCGUCUUCCACCUCUUCUGUGUAAAACAGCAGAGACCCAUGUUCUGUUAUCUGUGUUGCUUCAUCUUGUCUCAAUCCGUCCUUGCAGAAUGUGGCUCAAAUGUUUGCUUCAUCUAGGUUCAUUUAGUGCUCUGAGAGGUAACGAGAUACGUCGGGUCUAACAUCAAUGUACAGUCCCUACAUCGGACAGCACAAAAAUAGAAACCUCAAUGUAAUCUAUGUGAGAGAGCUGCACGAUGUUGCCAGUAAGGACAAAUCUGAUACCACCGAGCAAUGACAUCACACAAGGGCUGUGGUUCGAUCCAGGCCAGGGGAGCAGGAGAGAGAGAGACUUCUCUGCUCUUCCUUCAGUUUUCUGAGGCCUGUGAACCUCUCAUCACAGUAGUUGGGAGAGAUUUCAAGUCUAGGAAAGAUCCCUUAUGCAGGCAAUUAAUCCGACACGCUUUCUGUUUUAGUAAGAAUGUACAAGUAUGUUUUGUCUGCAUGAUACUUGUUUGAUCAUAUGGGGGUCAGAUCAGGAGUUUCAUUUGUAUGUUUCUGUGAAGUCAUAUAUUAGUCAUGGCACACAGGUGGACUCAGUCAUGCAGUAGACUAAAGCUGGUAAUAUGGCCAUGGAUAUUUAUUUGAGGUAUUUUGUGGGUUACUUUAGGACACCAUGUACACUGCUUUAUGUUCCUCUCGGACCUCAGAUACCAAUAAGCCAUUGCAUUUUAAUCAAGCAUUUUCACCAUGGUGGAUCAAGAGGCCUUGCUCAAAGCAGAAACAUGCAAAUUGUGUUUUUGUUGAUGUCCACAAGGAUGUAUAAAGAUAUAUAUAUAUAUAUAUUUAGUCAUUUGGAAAAAUAUAAGUGAUUAUUAUAUGAGAUUUCUGAUAAUUAAAAAUGCUUACAACAACUCGUUUUACAAGUGACGUGUACAUUUAUAAGCUGAUUUUCAACCUUGUUUUUAGCUGUAACAUAAU